This is a long non-coding RNA of Terrapene triunguis (Three-toed box turtle), 252 nucleotides long. RefSeq lists it as uncharacterized. The record is from RefSeq and is a predicted model, not a curated record. NCBI's taxonomy places the organism in Eukaryota, Metazoa, Chordata, Testudines, Emydidae. The transcript is spliced from 3 exons.
AGCUCGAGGUCCGCCAGCUCUGCUCCAGCACCCUGCAGUCCCUGGCUGACUCCCCCAGAAUGGCCAAUGUUUUAUGGCCUGGGCUGCUCCUUCAACUGAGCCCAGCAGCCCAUGGGCCAGCCCUGCCUCUCCUCCUGCAGACCUCGGUCGAGGUGGUAAAGAGGAUGCAGGAGGAAGGCAGGCUGCCCUUGGCCAGGAGGUGCGGCAAGGCGAACAGAGGGUGUCGGUCAAGCCCCAAGUCCACUCUACCCC